AUUCCCGUCGUGAUCCACACAAGCAACCUCCAAAUCAAAUCAACUUCUCCUCUUCUCGUCGCACAAGAUCAACGGCGCACGCGAUGAUGCUGAGCAACAGCAGCCGCGCUCCACGCUUCCUCUGCCUCCUCGUGCUGCUGCUCCUCCUCACCGUCUUCGCGCGGCGCUCCGGCGCCACCAGGCCCCUGCGGCAACCGGGCGCCGCCGGCGGUGGUGGUGUGGCCGCCGCGGCCGUGCGGACGAUCGCUCUCCCCGCCGCGGCCUUGACGAGGGACGCGGAGGUGCUCGUGCCGGCCGGGAAGCGGGUCGAGGCGCUGCUCGGCAUGAAGCCCAGGUCGAGAGCGCCGCCGUCGGGCCCCAGCAAACGAACCAACGACAUCAAGAGCUGACGAUCCAGCUGCCUGCUCUGCUCUGCUCGGCUCUUCUCUGAUGCCGAUCGACCUUUUUUCUUUUCUUUUUCUCUUGGGGUAGCUCGUUUAGGUUCC
Molecule: ribosomal RNA, 485 nt
Filed under: Triticum aestivum (bread wheat)
Lineage: Eukaryota; Viridiplantae; Streptophyta; Magnoliopsida; Poales; Poaceae
Description: partial small subunit ribosomal RNA
Source: RNAcentral